GAAAGUAAUAAACAUGAAAUAUCCGUAUGAGUGAAAAUUGAUUCAGUGUUCAUCGUUUGAAGACCAAAUAGCCAGCUUCAUACACCAAUAGAAGGCUGUUUACACCACUGGAAUAAUUACAUUAACUUAAAAGUACAAAUUCAACAAUAUGUGCUGUGUAUCGAUCUUUGUUUCCUGGUAGUCGUCUAAUCCUUCAUAAUAGUACACCAUUAAGUAGAAAACGCGAACGAGCUACAAUCCAAUGGAACUAUAAGUCGCUCGCGAUGAGGGUAAAAUAGCAGCGAAAAGUUUGCAGGUGUCGAGCGAGUCGUCGCGGCACGUAAGCCAACAGACGGGUCCCGAGUUCAUCAAAUGCUGUCGUAUCUUUCAAAUAAACAUUUAUCGAACGUUCGAAGGAACCAGGUAAUAAUUUUCGUUAGAAAAUGCAGUCUAACCUUACCCUUCUUUCGUCAUUGGUUUCACCAAUAGCAAAUUAUGCGAGAAAGUUUGCAAAGCAUUGGAAAAUCGCUACUUUUGAUUUACGGCCCAAACUCUUUUGCUGGAUAUCUGCGACAAGGCCGUGGAAAUACAUAGAAACCGAUAGCAGUACAAAAGGAAGGGUUGUCAUUUGCAUUUGCCACGAGUGACCCUUUUCAGGCUCUCAACGUCCAUCCAUGGAAAACGGAAAUCAAUUUGACCCGCUGCGGACCGCUUGCCAAGAUUCCGUACACAACUUUACACUUUACGAAGUCUCGGAAAUAUUUCAAAAUUUUCCAACUAAAACAGGGAAAUGUUCUUCGAUCGCAAUCUUGAAGAUAUAAUAAGAACAACAACAUAAGGAUGCAAAUACUUUUACGGACGAUAACAUUUCCAUCCUCUUGAUAUUAGAUAAUAUUAAAAUAUUGAAAACCAUCGAAAUGUCGGAUAUAUUAAGUCACCGGACAUCAAACUUAGAAGACGAGGAAAAAUGUGCUUAUCGCGCUUCUUCUUUCCUGAGAUCUCCGAACGAGACGUUCUAACUAUUAACACUUCUUGCGCAAUAGUAACGACGGCCUUCGUUUCCCAUUAAGAAGCACGGCAAUAAACAGGAGAAAAAGUGUUGGUUAAGACAGGAAGGUAGAGAAUUGAUAGAUCGAGAGGGGUCCAGAGGCGGUAAAACGCGGUUGUAAAUCGGAUUCGCAGCGGGACCGUUAUCCGAACCGAUGUUACUGAACGGUACUUUUCUCCAAAACGGAGUACCGUCGCUGUAUAACCGCGGCCUCGGGCAUAAAUCAAUUAAAUUAUAAAUUACUAUACAGAAGUUGAGCAAAACGACCACCUGUUGAGGACAGCAGCAGAGAGAGAGAGAGAGAGAGAAGAAAGUUAUUUACGAGCAGUCUAUUGUUGCCACCUGUGUUACGAAUGGUACGCUAAUUGGACUGUUGCGUUUGCCGCCUUUGUUUCAUUUGCGUACGACGAGUGGCGCCUUUAAAUCAACUUAAACAUAGCGUUUUUGUCGAUUUAAAAUUGAGUGACAGCUUAAUUCCGUGAAUGGAUACUAAUGAUUGGUUGAUCGAUGAACAUCGUAAACUAUUAAGUGAUUGACAGUGUACGAAUGUUGACCGAGAACUUUACAGUAACAACUGUCUGUGACAAUCAUCUUUCAUCGAAUCACCUUGCCGUCAAAGAGUUGCUACAUUACAAGAGACUCGUAACGUAACUCGCUUCAUCUUCCAGGAUAUUAACUUUCAAUUUGUUUCACGUGUUACGCGUGGCAAAAAUUAAUCAAACAGAAGAGAAAGAAGUAGCUUUCUAGAAGAAAUGAAACGAACCGAUAAGAAAGUUUGCUGGAAAAUAUUUUUACAUGUAAAUACUCUCUUUUGCCAACAGAGUUCAAAUUUCCAACUCUGAAGAAGGUCGUUUAUGUUUAAGCUUUGACGCGGAUUUGCUAGAUAAGCGUAUAAUUGGGAAUGCGAAGAAAGUAGUAGGUAGGGACAUUGAGAGCUGCCAGGGAUGAUUAAUUCUCGGUAGGAAAGCGCCAGACCCUUUGGAACUCGCUUGUAGCGCCCGCUCCACCCCGUCUUCUCUACCAUUCCAACAACCCCAACCACCGUCACUUCGAACCUCCUCUUCGCUCCUCGCGUACACCCGACAACCCACACCCUCUUCAACCCUCUGAGCUGCUCUUACCACCAAGCAGACUUUCUCGUUUCGUUUGUUCUCCGGCCGUGUCAUUCGUUAUUACAUCGUAGAAACUCGCGGAUAUUUGGAAUUCCGAGUGACGUCUAAAGGCCGCCCUCGUUGCUUUAACCGGUAACCCGGCUUCUUACCGCUUGCGCGGCUUCUUUGUCUGUCUUGACUUCUUUUUUCUUGCCCUGCCGCACCAAUUUCCCAUUAUUGUUAGUCCUUCCGUCAUUUUAACACGGAGGUUUUCAAAUGAUUCUUUUAGGACAAGGCGUGGCUCACUAUAAGUUUGAUAAUGGAUUGAUAGCUGGGUUAUCGUUGGAUUAAUGUGUUUCUUUAAUGAAUUUUUCUAAUUAGCAACGAGAUAAAAUCGUUUACUACGAGUUAAUCAAAGAAUCUUGAAGAUUUUAUUGGUAGUUUGAAUAUUUAAGAAUUUACAAUAAACGGUAAUUCAGUAGUUAAAUAAUAAAACAGAAGUUGAAUUUAUUAUUUUAAUAUUUAACGUUCCAUUAGCUAAACAAUGCAGUAUUAAUCUAAUAUUUAAUGUUCAUUGGUUAAAUAAUGGGAAUUCAGAAGUCAAAAUAAUCUGUGUAUUUUCAAACGCAAUGGAUUGCCGAAGGUCCAUAAAAUUUUAUAGCUGGAGUUCAUCAUCUUCCAUGAUAAUCCGGAAGAAUAUUCCUUUAUUUUAUAUAAAUUUCUUUUUCAUCAAAUAACAAUUUAUCGAAUAGCGGAAGAAACCAAUUCGCAUGCCAUUAGAUGGCGUCAUUGCUAGCUUUAGAUAUAUGUGUACAAUUAAAAAAUUUGAAAAUUUGAAAUCUGAAAAAUGAAAAAUUUCAAAAUUUGAAUGACUUUCAAAUUUUGAAACAUUCAGACUAAAAUUUCAAGCUUUCGCUCAUUCAAGCAACCGAACACACAAUUAACCCUUUGAGCGCUGCGUUAUCCGACGUUAGGCCGUGGGCUGCGCCCAUCAAGGCAUUGUAGUCUGCUACACACUUUGCUUUUCACUUUGCUCUGCCAAUUUGAUAAUUAAUUUCCUUCGUUUCAACGAAAUCAUCAGAAUGUCAGGUGGACAACAUCCAUACAUCUUUUUUAUCACGCCGCUUUUAGCCUAAAUUGAAUGGUUAUGUGUGUUUCUCAAUCAAUCGCGAGGGAGCGCGCCAACAGGAGUCUACAACAGGAGUCGUAGAUUCCCGUUACAAUUAGACAAUCGACGCCACGAACUUAUCGAUUGCCUAUUUCGUUAGGUUAGGAUAAUAGAAGUGAUUUAAUUAGUAUAACACUUGAUUAACAGUUCAAAGAUAUUAUAUAUUUUCAACAACUUGUAGACAAGAUGUUUACGUUCGGUGCGUAUGUGUAAGUUAGAGAGAUGGCUGAUCUAAAGUAGAUAUCGACCAGUGCCAAGAUGUUGACUGAUCUAAAGUCGAUAAAGUCGGUGACGAUGGUGUCGCAAAGAAAAGCUCUUGCUCGGUGGUGAUCGCCCACCACUGGUCGCUUGCGGGUGGAAUCGCAGAAAAAAUAGGAAAACCCACGUUUCCCCAUUUUUUACCUGAAUAACCAUAAGGAACCUCCCGACUCGAAGAUGUUCUAUGUCAAUUAACGGCUUUAACGGUAAAUCGAUAAGCUUCGUCUUAUGACAGUUCCUUAGGAUUAUUGCCAUUAUUAUCCGCUUAAUUCUACGUGUACAGUUAGUGGCCGCCUCGACCAUAAAGACUCACCGGACGUAAAGAUGUAAAAACGCAUAUA
This is a long non-coding RNA of Bombus terrestris (buff-tailed bumblebee), 3885 nucleotides long. RefSeq lists it as uncharacterized. The record is from RefSeq and is a predicted model, not a curated record. NCBI's taxonomy places the organism in Eukaryota, Metazoa, Arthropoda, Insecta, Hymenoptera, Apidae. The transcript is spliced from 6 exons.